Molecule: transfer RNA, 76 nt
Filed under: Deltaproteobacteria bacterium
Lineage: Bacteria; Pseudomonadati; Myxococcota; Myxococcia
Description: tRNA-Val
Rfam family: tRNA
About the family: Transfer RNA (tRNA) molecules are approximately 80 nucleotides in length. Their secondary structure includes four short double-helical elements and three loops (D, anti-codon, and T loops).
Source: RNAcentral
GGGCGAUUAACUCUGUGGUCAGAGUGCCGUCUUCACACGGCGGAAGUCCCCAGUUCAAAUCUGGGAUCGCCCACCA